RNAcentral lists this non-coding RNA (25 nucleotides) under Xenopus tropicalis (tropical clawed frog). Lineage: Eukaryota; Metazoa; Chordata; Amphibia; Anura; Pipidae. RNAcentral also lists the same sequence under 6 other names. The record is from RNAcentral.
CUGGUUCGAUUCCGGCUCGAAGGAC